This 394-nucleotide ribosomal RNA is filed under the name uncultured bacterium. Its description in RNAcentral is "partial 16S ribosomal RNA". It matches the Rfam family "Bacterial small subunit ribosomal RNA", at positions 523 to 918 of the family's 1533-position model. The record is from RNAcentral.
AUACGGGGGAUUCAAGCGUUAUCCGGACUUAUUGGGUUUAAAGGGUGCGUAGGCUGAUAAAUCAGUCAGCGGUGAAAUUUACGGGCUUAACUUGUAGCUUGCCGUUGAAACUAUUUAUCUAGAGAUAUUUCGUCGUAUGCGGAAUGUAUCAAGUAGCGGUGAAAUGCAUAGAUAUGCUACAGAACACCGAUCGCGAAGGCAGCCUUCCGGCCCGUCAACGACGCUCAUGCUCGAAGGUGCGGGUAUCAAACAGGAUUAGAUACCCUGGUAGUCCGCGCAGUAAACGAUGGACUCCCGCGGUUUGGCCUGUAUGGCUGAGCCGCCAAGCGAAAGCGUUAAGUGUCCCACCUGGGGAGUACGCCGGCAACGGUGAAACUCAAAUGAAUUGACGGGG